GGGGCUGUAGCUCAGUGGUAGAGCGCUUGCCUAGUACACAUGAGGCAUUGGGUUCCGUCUUCAGCACCA
Molecule: non-coding RNA, 69 nt
Organism: Ictidomys tridecemlineatus (thirteen-lined ground squirrel)
Lineage: Eukaryota; Metazoa; Chordata; Mammalia; Rodentia; Sciuridae
Source: Rfam